GUGGGGAAUAUUGCACAAUGGGGGAAACCCUGAUGCAGCAACGCCGCGUGAGUGAUGACGGUCUUCGGAUUGUAAAGCUCUGUCUUUAGGGACGAUAAUGACGGUACCUAAGGAGGAAGCCACGGCUAACUACGUGCCAGCAGCCGCGGUAAUACGUAGGUGGCAAGCGUUGUCCGGAUUUACUGGGCGUAAAGGGAGCGUAGGCGGAUUUUUAAGUGGGAUGUGAAAUACCCGGGCUCAACCUGGGUGCUGCAUUCCAAACUGAAAGUCUAGAGUACAGGAGGGGAAAGCGGAAUUCCUAGUGUAGCGGUGAAAUGCGUAGAGAUUAGGAAGAACACCAGUGGCGAAGGCGGCUUUCUGGACUGUAACUGACGCUGAGGCUCGAAAGCGUGGGGAGCAAACAGGA
This 406-nucleotide ribosomal RNA is filed under the name uncultured bacterium. Its description in RNAcentral is "bacterial SSU rRNA". It matches the Rfam family "Bacterial small subunit ribosomal RNA", at positions 354 to 777 of the family's 1533-position model. The record is from RNAcentral.